RNAcentral lists this ribosomal RNA (253 nucleotides) under uncultured bacterium. Its description in RNAcentral is "partial 16S ribosomal RNA". It matches the Rfam family "Bacterial small subunit ribosomal RNA", at positions 524 to 776 of the family's 1533-position model. The record is from RNAcentral.
UACGGAGGGGGCUAGCGUUGUUCGGAAUUACUGGGCGUAAAGGGCGCGUAGGCGGCUUUGUAAGUCAGAGGUGAAAGCCCGGGGCUCAACUCCGGAAUUGCCUUUAAGACUGCAUCGCUAGAAUUGUGGAGAGGUAAGUGGAAUUCCGAGUGUAGAGGUGAAAUGCGCAGAUAUCAGGAAGAACACCUAUGGCGAAGGCAGCUCUCUGGGACGGUACUGACGCUGAGACGCGAAAGCGUGGGGAGCGAACAGG